This 365-nucleotide ribosomal RNA is filed under the name uncultured Glomeromycotina. Its description in RNAcentral is "LSU rRNA". Lineage: Eukaryota; Fungi; Glomeromycota. The record is from RNAcentral.
UUGAAAGGGAAACGAUUGAAGUCAGUCGUACCGACGAGAAAUCAGCUUUUCGAAUGUGCAUUUGUGGGCGUAUGAGAUCUUCAUUGUUUGCAAUAUGUAUAUUUCUUUGGUGUACUUUUUCGUAUGGUAGGUCAAUGUCGGUUUUGAUCGCCAUAAAAUGAUCGGAGGAAUGUAGCUUCGGCUUCGGUUGAAGUGUUAUAGCCUUUGGUAAAUGUGGUGAUUAGGACCGAGGAUUGCAACGAAUACCUUUUAGGCUAUCCGUCUGACCUCUGAAAGUUACUUAGGUGCCGAAAGCUUGCUUAUGGUAUUUAAGACGACGGUCAAAAGGUUAGAACGUGAUUACAUUCGUUAAGGAUGUUGACGUA